GACGAACGCUGGCGGCGUGCUUAACACAUGCAAGUCGAACGGAAAGGCCCUGCUUUUGUGGGGUGCUCGCGUGGCGAACGUGUGAGUAACACGUGAGUAACCUGCCCUUGACUUUGGGAUAACUUCAGGAAACUGGGGCUAAUACCGGAUAGGAGCUCCUGCUGCAUGGUGGGGGUUGGAACGUUUAGGUGGUUGGGGAUGGACUCGGGGCUUAUGAGCUUGUUGGUUGGGUAGUGGCUUACCAAGGCUUUGACGGGUAGCCGGCCUGGGAGGGUGACCGGCCACAUUGGGACUGAGAUACGGCCCAGACUCCUACGGGAGGCAGCAGUGGGGAAUAUUGCACAAUGGGCGGAAGCCUGAUGCAGAAACGCCGCGUGCGGGAUGAAGGCCUUCGGGUUGUAAACCGCUUUCGCCUGUGACGAAGCGUGAGUGACGGUAAUGGGUAAAGAAGCACCGGCUAACUACGUG
This 468-nucleotide ribosomal RNA is filed under the name uncultured bacterium. RNAcentral's name for it is "partial 16S ribosomal RNA". It matches the Rfam family "Bacterial small subunit ribosomal RNA", at positions 28 to 507 of the family's 1533-position model. The record is from RNAcentral.